Macadamia integrifolia is the source of this 1697-nucleotide long non-coding RNA. RefSeq lists it as uncharacterized. The record is from RefSeq and is a predicted model, not a curated record. Lineage: Eukaryota; Viridiplantae; Streptophyta; Magnoliopsida; Proteales; Proteaceae. The transcript has 2 exons.
UGGAAAUCUCCACUAUUUCCCCAAGUUUCCCACUCUUAGGAGAAAAAAAAUAAGAAGAGAGGGUUGAAUUCUGCUAAAGAAGGCUUGGGUUUCUUUUCAAACUAACUUAUAUAAGACCUGGUUCCACCCAAAGGGUCGAACCAGUUAGUUUGGUCGAAAUUUCUCUUGUUUCAGUUGAAACAUGGGAAAUUUCGUCGAAUUUGGUUGAAACAUGUCGAAACAUGGUCAAAACCUGACUUUUAAAAGUCACAGCCUCACAGGACAUCGUUUUGGCCCCUAGGGAUACGGUCGGUUUCGAUCGAGGUCUCGAACCAUGUAAAAAACCCCUUGGACCAUACCCAUAUUUUAAGCCAUUAAAGUUGCCUAUUACAAUAAAAAAAAAACCCUUGGACCAAAGGCCAAGUGGCCAACACAUCUAUAACUCAACCCAAGGCUUGUUACCACUAAAUAAGCCUUUUCUCUGGUUUUUCUGCAUUGAUUGUGCUACAGGCUUAACUAAUAUGCUAACUUCCAAUAACUGGUGGAUGUCGUUGGUGGCUUGGUAUUAUAAGCAGGGAAAGUACUGUACACUUUCCCCAACCCAAGGCUUUUUUGUAGAUGUUUUUAUACUAGUGACUGUUUUCUCUCUCAUCCAUCGUCUCUUGCAGGUUUUAGAGUCUCUUGCUCUUUCAUCAGAUUCCUCACAUAUGGUCUCUCUUUCGUAUGAUUUCAUUAAAUAUUUCAUAGGGUCAUAAAUUAAAAUUAGGGUGUUAGGUAUGAUUUUCCACCUUAUUUAUGAGAAAUUGAAAUCAAAUUCGUCUGAAAAUAGUGAAAUAGUUGGAGAGUUAUUUCACUUAUUGCACUGAAAUUACUUCAAACUUAUUUCGCGCUUUACUGUUUCAUGAACACGUGUUUGCAACAAGUGAAACAUGUCAUUUAAGUCUAACCUUGCAGCCAUUUCUUUAUACCUAUUGAUUUUCUACCAAAGAAGAAGCAGGUACCCCCCCCCCCCCCCUCCUCCACCCCUCCCUGUUCUCCCCCAACCUUCCUCUCAGCUUUUCCACCCCAACCCUCACUCUCAGUUCUCCCGCCCCAGCACCUUGAAUCUUCUUCCUAUAUAUCAAGAAAAUGAGUGACGUCCCAAAAUUUCUAUUGUCAUUAAGGUCUUGCUUUUAACAUGGUACCAGGCUGUUGUUCAUUUGCAGAGAUUCAAAUAAAAAAUCAAAAACAGAAAACAAAGGAGAGUUCCAAGGAUUUAGUGCUUGGACUUGAGGAUCAGAUUAGCCAUAUUGGAUCCUGAGUCAACAUGCUCAAGUUUAGGCCUUAUGGUCCAAGUCUGGAGAUAAAGAGUGCUAGAUGGUUAUAGCUGUCCUAUAUCAUCCUUAAGCUCGGAUUAUAUUGGGGCAGGCCUGUUCUGAUAACUUGACUGGACGACACGACAAAGCCUGGGCAAGCCACACGCCCAGUUGGAGCUGCGAAUCCUGGGCGGGUGUAAAACUUUCGAGAAUCUCACUAUAUUCAUUACGGUGUGGGGAAGAUUAUCUGAAUUGUUUUGUUGUACAGUUUUGGUUUUGCUUGGAUUCUACAAUAGAGAAGGAAAAUGUAUUGCCCAAGACACAGAAACUGCCCACAAUUGAAUCAUCCGCAUGCCAAUUUUGGGAUUUUUUUUUUUUUGAAAUGGUAUUAUAAUUAAAAACUCAACUUCAGAUUUUACGGUA